This 478-nucleotide ribosomal RNA is filed under the name uncultured bacterium. RNAcentral's name for it is "partial 16S ribosomal RNA". It matches the Rfam family "Bacterial small subunit ribosomal RNA", at positions 28 to 507 of the family's 1533-position model. The record is from RNAcentral.
GACGAACGCUGGCGGCGUGCUUAACGCAUGCAAGUCGAACGGGCUGCCUGGUUUUCGGAUCGGGUGGUGAGUGGCGAACGGGUGAGUAACACGUGAGUAACCUGCCCCUCUCUUUGGGAUAACGUCGGGAAAUCGGCGCUAAUACCGGGUAUUCUGGCUUCCUCGCAUGGGGUUGUUGGGAAAGGUUUUUUCUGGUGGGGGAUGGGCUCGCGGCCUAUCAGCUUGUUGGUGGGGUGAUGGCCUACCAAGGCGGUGACGGGUAGCCGGCCUGAGAGGGUGUCCGGCCACACUGGGACUGAGACACGGCCCAGACUCCUACGGGAGGCAGCAGUGGGGAAUAUUGCACAAUGGGCGGAAGCCUGAUGCAGCGACGCCGCGUGGGGGAUGACGGCCUUCGGGUUGUAAACCUCUUUCAGUGCAGAACAAGGCUCUUUGUGGGUUGAGGGUAUGCGCAGAAGAAGCGCCGGCUAACUACGUG